This 450-nucleotide ribosomal RNA is filed under the name uncultured bacterium. RNAcentral's name for it is "partial 16S ribosomal RNA". It matches the Rfam family "Bacterial small subunit ribosomal RNA", at positions 354 to 796 of the family's 1533-position model. The record is from RNAcentral.
GUGGGGAAUAUUGGACAAUGGGCGAAAGCCUGAUCCAGCCAUGCCGCGUGUGUGAAGAAGGUCUUCGGAUUGUAAAGCACUUUAAGUUGGGAGGAAGGGCAGUAAGUUAAUACCUUGCUGUUUUGACGUUACCGACAGAAUAAGCACCGGCUAACUUCGUGCCAGCAGCCGCGGUAAUACGAAGGGCGCAAGCGUUAAUCGGAAUUACUGUGCGUAAAGCGCGCGUAGGUGGUUUUGUAAGUUGGAGGUGAAAUCCCCGGGCUCAACCUGGGAACUGCAUCCAACACUACUGGGAGAGAGUACGGGUGAGGAAGGUGGAAUUUCCUGUGUAGCAGUGAAAGGCGUAGAUAUAGGAAGGAACACCAGUGGCGAAGGCGACUACCUGGACUGAUACUGACACUGAGGUGCGAAAGCGUGGGGAGCAAACAGGAUUAGGUACCCCGGUAGUCC